GAUGUUCAAAGACUGGUCACUAACCCCCCUCUCUCCUUUCUUACCCAUCUUCAUCCUCCACUCUCCUCUCUUACCCAUCCUCAUCCUCCACCACUCCGCUCUCCUCUUACCCAUCCUCAUCCUCCACCACCCUCUCCUCUUACCCAUCCUCAUCCUCCACUCUCCACCACCCUCCUCCUCUCUUACCCAUCUUCAUCCUCCACCACUCCGCUCUCCUCUUACCCAUCCUCAUCCUCCACCACUCUCUUCUUACCCAUCCUCAUCCUCCACUCUCCUCUUACCCAUCCUCAUCCUCCGCUCUCCUCUUACCCAUCCUCAUCCUCCUCUCACCCAUCCUCCUCUCUCCUCUGCUACCCAUCCUCAUCCUCCUCUCUCCUCUCCUACCCAUCCUCAUCUCUCCUCUUACCCAUCCUCAUCCUCCGCUCUCCUCUUACCCAUCCUCAUCCUCCUCUCACCCAUCCUCCUCUCUCCUCUGCUACCCAUCCUCAUCCUCCUCUCUCCUCUCCUACCCAUCCUCAUCUCUCCUCUUACCCAUCCUCAUCCUCCUCUCUCCUCUUACCCAUCCUCAUCCUCCUCUCUCCUCUUACCCAUCCUCCACCCCUCCAUUCCUUCUCUCUCUGCUGUGCCAGAUGGAUUGAACAGUAUCUACUGUUAGUGAAGAGGUCUGACAGUCCUUCAUCCCCCAGACAGUCCAUCAUCCCCCAGACAGUCCAUCAUCCCCCAGACAGUCCUUCAUCCCCCAGACAGUCCAUCAUCCCCCAGACAGUCCAUCAUCCCCCAGACAGUCCAUCAUCCCCCAGACAGUCCUCCAUCCCCCAGACAGUCCAUCAUCCCCCAGACAGUCCUCCAUCCCCCAGACAGUCCUCUAUCCCCCAGACAGUCCAUCAUCCCCCAGACAGUCCUCCAUCCCCCAGACAGUCCAUCAUCCCCCAGACAGUCCAUCAUCCCCCAGACAGUCCAUCAUCCCCCAGACAGUCCUUCUCCCCCAGACAGUCCUCUAUCCCCCAGACAGUCCAUCAUCCCCCAGACAGUCCUCUAUCCCCCAGACAGUCCAUCAUCCCCCAGACAGUCCAUCAUCCCCCAGACAGUCCAUCAUCCCCCAGACAGUCCUUCAUCCCCCAGACAGUCCAUCAUCCCCAAGACAGUCCAUCAUCCCCCAGACAGUCCUCUAUCCCCCAGACAGUCCAUCAUCCCCCAGACAGUCCUCUAUCCCCCAGACAGUCCAUCAUCCCCCAGACAGUCCAUCAUCCCCCAGACAGUCCAUCAUCCCCCAGACAGUCCAUCAUCCCCCAGACAGUCCAUCAUCCCCCAGACAGUCCAUCAUCCCCCAGACAGUCCAUCAUCCCCCAGACAGUCCAUCAUCCCCCAGACAGUCCUCCAUCCCCCAGACAGUCCAUCAUCCCCCAGACAGUCCAUCAUCCCCCAGACAGUCCAUCAUCCCCCAGACAGUCCUUCUCCCCCAGACAGUCCUCUAUCCCCCAGACAGUCCUCUAUCCCCCAGACAGUCCAUCAUCCCCCAGACAGUCCUCUAUCCCCCAGACAGUCCAUCAUCCCCCAGACAGUCCAUCAUCCCCCAGACAGUCCAUCAUCCCCCAGACAGUCCUUCAUCCCCCAGACAGUCCAUCAUCCCCCAGACAGUCCAUCAUCCCCAAGACAGUCCAUCAUCCCCCAGACAGUCCUCUAUCCCCCAGACAGUCCUCUAUCCCCCAGACAGUCCAUCAUCCCCCAGACAGUCCUCUAUCCCCCAGACAGUCCAUCAUCCCCCAGACAGUCCAUCAUCCCCCAGACAGUCCAUCAUCCCCCAGACAGUCCAUCAUCCCCCAGACAGUCCAUCAUCCCCCAGACAGUCCAUCAUCCCCCAGACAGUCCAUCAUCCCCCAGACAGUCCUUCAUCCCCCAGACAGUCCAUCAUACCCCAGACAGUCCUCCAUCCCCCAGACAGUCCUCCAUCCCCCAGACAGUCCAUCAUCCCCCAGACAGUCCUCCAUCCCCCAGACAGUCCAUCAUCCCCCAGACAGUCCAUCAUCCCCCAGACAGUCCAUCAUCCCCCAGACAGUCCAUCAUCCCCCAGACAGUCCAUCAUCCCCCAGACAGUCCAUCAUCCCCCAGACAGUCCAUCAUCCCCCAGACAGUCCAUCAUCCCCCAGACAGUCCUCCAUCCCCCAGACAGUCCAUCAUCCCCCAGACAGUCCAUCACCCCCCAGACAGUCCAUCAUCCCCCAGACAGUCCAUCAUCCCCCAGACAGUCCAUCAUCCCCCAGACAGUCCAUCAUCCCCCAGACAGUCCAUCAUCCCCCAGACAGUCCAUCAUCCCCCAGACAGUCCUCUAUCCCCCAGACAGUCCAUCAUCCCCCAGACAGUCCAUCAUCCCCCAGACAGUCCAUCAUCCCCCAGACAGUCCAUCAUCCCCCAGACAGUCCAUCAUCCCCCAGACAGUCCAUCAUCCCCCAGACAGUCCAUCAUCCCCCAGACAGUCCAUCAUCCCCCAGACAGUCCAUCAUCCCCCAGACAGUCCUUCAUCCCCCAGACAGUCCAUCAUCCCCCAGACAGUCCUCCAUUCCCCAGACAGUCCAUCAUCCCCCAGACAGUCCAUCAUCCCCCAGACAGUCCAUCAUCCCCCAGACAGUCCAUCAUCCCCCAGACAGUCCAUCAUCCCCCAGACAGUCCAUCAUCCCCCAGACAGUCCAUCCCCCCCCAUCAACUCUCCAUCUUUAA
Molecule: long non-coding RNA, 2715 nt
Filed under: Oncorhynchus mykiss (rainbow trout)
Lineage: Eukaryota; Metazoa; Chordata; Actinopteri; Salmoniformes; Salmonidae
Description: lncRNA (ENSOMYG00000062914.1)
Source: RNAcentral